GAUGAACGCUGGCGGUCUGCUUAACACAUGCAAGUCGAACGAACUCUUCGGAGUGAGUGGCGGACGGGUGAGUAACGCGUGAGAAUCUGCCUGUGGGUCGGGGACAACCACUGGAAACGGUGGCUAAUACCGGAUGAGCCGAAAGGUAAAAGAUUUAUUGCCCACAGAUGAGCUCGCGUCUGAUUAGCUAGUUGGUAAGGUAAAAGCGUACCAAGGCGACGAUCAGUAGCUGGUCUGAGAGGAUGAGCAGCCACACUGGGACUGAGACACGGCCCAGACUCCUACGGGAGGCAGCAGUGGGAAUUUUCCGCAAUGGGCGAAAGCCUGACGGAGCAAGACCGCGUGGGGGAGGAAGGUUUUUGGAUCGUAAAGCUCUUUCGCCAGGGAUGAUAAUGACAGUACCUGGUAAAGAACCCCGG
Molecule: ribosomal RNA, 419 nt
Filed under: uncultured bacterium
Lineage: Bacteria
Description: bacterial SSU rRNA
Rfam family: Bacterial small subunit ribosomal RNA
Source: RNAcentral